GACGAACGCUGGCGGCGUGCUUAACACAUGCAAGUCGAACGGAAAGGCCCUGCUUUUGUGGGGUUCUCGAGUGGCGAACGGGUGAGUAACACGUGAGUAACCUGCCCUUGACUUUGGGAUAACUUCAGGAAACUGGGGCUAAUACCGGAGAGGAGCUCCUGCUGCAUGGUGGUGGUUGGAAAGUUUCGGCGGUUGGGGAUGGACUCGCGGCUUAUCAGCUGGUUGGUGGGGUAGUGGCUUACCAAGGCUUUGACGGGUAGCCGGCCUGAGAGGUUGACCGGCCACAUGGGGACUGCGAUACGCCCCAGACUCCUACGGGCGGCAGCAGUGGGGAAUAUUGCACAAUGUGCGGAAGCCUGAUGCAGCAACGCCGGGUGCGGGAUGACGGCCUUCGGGUUGUAAACCGCUUUGGCAUGUGACAAAGCGUGAGUGACGGUAAUGGGUAAAGAAGCACCGGCUAACUACGUG
This 468-nucleotide ribosomal RNA is filed under the name uncultured bacterium. RNAcentral's name for it is "partial 16S ribosomal RNA". It matches the Rfam family "Bacterial small subunit ribosomal RNA", at positions 28 to 507 of the family's 1533-position model. The record is from RNAcentral.